CCUGGCUCAGCCUGUACGCUAGCUACAGGCUUAACACAUGCAAGUCGAGGGGCAGCAUGGUCUUAGCUUGCUAAGGCCGAUGGCGACCGGCGCACGGGUGAGUAACACGUAUCCAACCUGCCGUCUACUCUUGGACAGCCUUCUGAAAGGAAGAUUAAUACAAGAUGGCAUCAUGAGUCCGCAUGUUCACAUGAUUAAAGGUAUUCCGGUAGACGAUGGGGAUGCGUUCCAUUAGAUAGUAGGCGGGGUAACGGCCCACCUAGUCUUCGAUGGAUAGGGGUUCUGAGAGGAAGGUCCCCCACAUUGGAACUGAGACACGGUCCAAACUCCUACGGGAGGCAGCAGUGAGGAAUAUUGGUCAAUGGGCGAGAGCCUGAACCAGCCAAGUAGCGUGAAGGAUGACUGCCCUAUGGGUUGUAAACUUCUUUUAUAAAGGAAUAAAGUCGGGUAUGGAUACCCGUUUGCAUGUACUUUAUGAAUAAGGAUCGGCUAACUCCGUGCCAGCAGCCGCGGUAAUACGGAGGAUCCGAGCGUUAUCCGGAUUUAUUGGGUUUAAAGGGAGCGUAGAUGGAUGUUUAAGUCAGUUGUGAAAGUUUGCGGCUCAACCGUAAAAUUGCAGUUGAUACUGGAUAUCUUGAGUGCAGUUGAGGCAGGCGGAAUUCGUGGUGUAGCGGUGAAAUGCUUAGAUAUCACGAAGAACUCCGAUUGCGAAGGCAGCCUGCUAAGCUGCAACUGACAUUGAGGCUCGAAAGUGUGGGUAUCAAACAGGAUUAGAUACCCUGGUAGUCCACACGGUAAACGAUGAAUACUCGCUGUUUGCGAUAUACUGCAAGCGGCCAAGCGAAAGCGUUAAGUAUUCCACCUGGGGAGUACGCCGGCAACGGUGAAACUCAAAGGAAUUGACGGGGGCCCGCACAAGCGGAGGAACAUGUGGUUUAAUUCGAUGAUACGCGAGGAACCUUACCCGGGCUUAAAUUGCAGAUGAAUUACGGUGAAAGCCGUAAGCCGCAAGGCAUCUGUGAAGGUGCUGCAUGGUUGUCGUCAGCUCGUGCCGUGAGGUGUCGGCUUAAGUGCCAUAACGAGCGCAACCCUUGUUGUCAGUUACUAACAGGUUCCGCUGAGGACUCUGACAAGACUGCCAUCGUAAGAUGUGAGGAAGGUGGGGAUGACGUCAAAUCAGCACGGCCCUUACGUCCGGGGCUACACACGUGUUACAAUGGGGGGUACAGAGGGCCGCUACCACGCGAGUGGAUGCCAAUCCCCAAAACCUCUCUCAGUUCGGACUGGAGUCUGCAACCCGACUCCACGAAGCUGGAUUCGCUAGUAAUCGCGCAUCAGCCACGGCGCGGUGAAUACGUUCCCGGGCCUUGUACACACCG
RNAcentral lists this ribosomal RNA (1379 nucleotides) under uncultured bacterium. Its description in RNAcentral is "bacterial SSU rRNA". It matches the Rfam family "Bacterial small subunit ribosomal RNA", at positions 18 to 1392 of the family's 1533-position model. The record is from RNAcentral.